This 494-nucleotide ribosomal RNA is filed under the name uncultured bacterium. RNAcentral's name for it is "partial 16S ribosomal RNA". It matches the Rfam family "Bacterial small subunit ribosomal RNA", at positions 28 to 507 of the family's 1533-position model. The record is from RNAcentral.
GACGAACGCUGGCGGCGCGCUUAACCCAUGCAAGUCGAACGGAAAGGCCUGCUUUCCCUUGUGGAUUGCGGGUACUCGAGUGGCGAACGGGUGAGUAACACGUGAGUGAUCUGCCCCCAACUUGGGUAUAAGCCUGGGAAACUGGGUCUAAUUCCCGAUAGGACUGCAGGGUGGUGCCUGUGGUGGAAAACGAUUUUCUAGUGGUUGGGGAUGAGCUCGCGGCCUAUCAGCUUGUUGGUGGGGUAAUGGCCUACCAAGGCGGCGACGGGUAGCCGGCCUGAGAGGGUGGACGGCCACAUUGGGACUGAGAUACGGCCCAGACUCCUACGGGAGGCAGCAGUGGGGAAUAUUGCACAAUGGGCGGAAGCCUGAUGCAGCGACGCCGCGUGGGGGAUGACGGCCUUCGGGUGGUAAACUCCUUUCGACCGCGAGGAAGCCACCUGGUUGGAAGGGUGGUGACGGUAGUGGUAGAAGAAGCACCGGCUAACUACGUG